Molecule: non-coding RNA, 24 nt
Filed under: Arabidopsis thaliana (thale cress)
Lineage: Eukaryota; Viridiplantae; Streptophyta; Magnoliopsida; Brassicales; Brassicaceae
Source: RNAcentral
AGUAUAGGUAUAAGGAUGCGCUGC